UGGGGAAUUUUGGACAAUGGGCGCAAGCCUGAUCCAGCAAUGCCGCGUGCAGGAAGAAGGCCUUCGGGUUGUAAACUGCUUUUGUCAGGGAAGAAAUCCUCUGGGUUAAUACCUCGGGGGGAUGACGGUACCUGAAGAAUAAGCACCGGCUAACUACGUGCCAGCAGCCGCGGUAAUACGUAGGGUGCGAGCGUUAAUCGGAAUUACUGGGCGUAAAGCGUGCGCAGGCGGCUUUGCAAGACAGAUGUGAAAUCCCCGGGCUCAACCUGGGAACUGCAUUUGUGACUGCAAGGCUAGAGUACGGUAGAGGGGGAUGGAAUUCCGCGUGUAGCAGUGAAAUGCGUAGAUAUGCGGAGGAACACCAAUGGCGAAGGCAAUCCCCUGGACCUGUACUGACGCUGAGGCACGAAAGCAUGGGGANCAAACAGGAUUAGAUACCCGGGUAGUCCCUGAGCGGGCUGGCAAGGCGCAU
This 472-nucleotide ribosomal RNA is filed under the name uncultured bacterium. Its description in RNAcentral is "bacterial SSU rRNA". It matches the Rfam family "Bacterial small subunit ribosomal RNA", at positions 355 to 825 of the family's 1533-position model. The record is from RNAcentral.